UAGGGAAUCUUCCGCAAUGGGCGAAAGCCUGACGGAGCAACGCCGCGUGAGUGAUGAAGGUCUUCGGAUCGUAAAACUCUGUUAUUAGGGAAGAACAAAUGUGUACGUAACUAUGCACGUCCUGCCGGUACCUAAUCAGAAAGCCCCGGCUAACAACGUGCCAGCACCCGCGGUAAUACGUAGGUGGCAAGCGUUAUCCGGAAUUAUUGGGCGUAAAGCGCGCGUAGGCGGUUUUUUAAGUCUGAUGUGAAAGCCCACGGCUCAACCGUGGAGGAGCAUUGGAAACUGGAGAGCGUGAGGGCAGAAGAGGAAGGUGGAAUUCCAUGUGUAGCGGUGAAAUGCGCAGAGAUAUGGAGGAACACCGGUGGCGAAGGCGACGGACUGGUCUAUAACUGACGCUGAUGUGCGAAAGCGUGGGGAGCAAACAGG
RNAcentral lists this ribosomal RNA (429 nucleotides) under Actinomycetes bacterium. RNAcentral describes it as "Actinobacteria bacterium partial 16S ribosomal RNA". It matches the Rfam family "Bacterial small subunit ribosomal RNA", at positions 355 to 776 of the family's 1533-position model. The record is from RNAcentral. Lineage: Bacteria; Bacillati; Actinomycetota; Actinomycetes.